UGGGGAAUAUUGGACAAUGGAGGGAACUCUGAUCCAGCAAUUCUGUGUGCACGAUGACGGUUUUCGGAUUGUAAAGUGCUUUUAGUUGGGAAGAAACAAAUGACGGUACCAACAGAAGAAGCGACGGCUAAAUACGUGCCAGCAGCCGCGGUAAUACGUAUGUCGCAAGCGUUAUCCGGAAUUAUUGGGCUUAAAGGGCAUCUAGGCGGCAAAGCAAGUUGAAGGUGAAAAGCUGUGGCUCAACCAUAGUCUUGCCUACAAAACUGCUUUACUAGAGUACUGGAAAGGUGGGUGGAACUACACGAGUAGAGGUGAAAUUCGUAGAUAUGUGUAGGAAUGCCGAUGAUGAAGAUAACUCACUGGACAGAAACUGACGCUGAAGUGCGAAAGCUAGGGGAGCAAACA
RNAcentral lists this ribosomal RNA (405 nucleotides) under uncultured Streptobacillus sp. RNAcentral describes it as "bacterial SSU rRNA". It matches the Rfam family "Bacterial small subunit ribosomal RNA", at positions 355 to 774 of the family's 1533-position model. Lineage: Bacteria; Fusobacteriati; Fusobacteriota; Fusobacteriia; Fusobacteriales; Leptotrichiaceae. The record is from RNAcentral.